Molecule: long non-coding RNA, 638 nt
Filed under: Equus asinus (donkey)
Lineage: Eukaryota; Metazoa; Chordata; Mammalia; Perissodactyla; Equidae
Description: lncRNA (ENSEASG00005026175.1)
Source: RNAcentral
CUGGACUGAGGCUGGCGAACAGGAAGCAGAAAGGGCUCUACCCGUGCUGUGGGCAAGAGCAUCUCAUGCAGAAGAAAACUCAAGCCCCACAGGGCGUGGAUUUAGGAGCUGGAGGAACAGAUGGACAAGAUUUCUGAUUCAAGCUCCAGAUCAAUUUUUGCACUGACAGGUACUGUUGUGUUUUUUCGACUGUUCUCCCAUUGGACAUCUUUUGUUAGAUAUGGGGAAAAGGAGAAAAUUUGCAAAGUCACAUGGCCAGAGCAUGUGCAGAAGAAGAAAUCGUGGCCUGAAAUAACCAUGGAACCCAAGAUUCUCCUCCCCAUGGAACCAAAGGACCAGGACAUGACCAGAACUUAAAGUCGGACUCUUAUCAAAAGCCAGGGGUCCAGGAAGAUCAAGUGUUAAAAUUCCUUCCCCACCUUACCAUAAAUGUUUAGAACCUCAUCAUAAAUGUUUAGAACCUUACCACAAACGCUUGAAGCCCACCAAUCAAAACUUGUCCUGCCAGCAUUUCCACAUACCAGCCCUUUCUCCCUCAUCUCUUAAGUUGCACCCCAAAUCCUGAAUCAGGGAGACAGACCUGAGGGCACACACCCCCUGUAUCCCAUAUCCCUGCAGAUCAAUCUCACAGAAUAAAG